Podarcis lilfordi (Lilford's wall lizard) is the source of this 128-nucleotide non-coding RNA. Lineage: Eukaryota; Metazoa; Chordata; Lepidosauria; Squamata; Lacertidae. The record is from the annotation of a GenBank genome assembly.
UGGUACUCUAACCACUGCUCCACUCUGACUCUCUGUGUUCCAUUACUUUUGCAUCAGCUAUAGAUCUUGCUACCCCCCCCCCAUAUAGAAUAAGAGAGGCAGCAUGGAGUAGUGGCUAGAGUGCUGAA